AGUGAACGCUGGCGGUAGGCCUAACACAUGCAAGUCGAACGGCAGCACAGUAAGAGCUUGCUCUUACGGGUGGCGAGUGGCGGACGGGUGAGGAAUACAUUGGAAUCUACUUUUUCGUGGGGGAUAACGUAGGGAAACUUACGCUAAUACCGCAUACGACCUACGGGUGAAAGCAGGGGAUCUUCGGACCUUGCGCGAUUGAAUGAGCCGAUGUCGGAUUAGCUAGUUGGCGGGGUAAAGGCCCACCAAGGCGACGAUCCGUAGCUGGUCUGAGAGGAUGAUCAGCCACACUGGAACUGAGACACGGUCCAGACUCCUACGGGAGGCAGCAGUGGGGAAUAUUGGACAAUGGGCGCAAGCCUGAUCCAGCCAUACCGCGUGGGUGAAGAAGGCCUUCGGGUUGUAAAACCCUUUUGUUGGGAAAGAAAAGCAGCAGGUUAAUACCCCGCUGUUCUGACGGUACCCAAAGAAUAAGCACCGGCUAACUUCGUG
This 492-nucleotide ribosomal RNA is filed under the name uncultured bacterium. RNAcentral describes it as "partial 16S ribosomal RNA". It matches the Rfam family "Bacterial small subunit ribosomal RNA", at positions 29 to 507 of the family's 1533-position model. The record is from RNAcentral.